Molecule: ribosomal RNA, 369 nt
Filed under: uncultured organism
Description: bacterial SSU rRNA
Rfam family: Bacterial small subunit ribosomal RNA
Source: RNAcentral
CGGAGGAUCCAAGCGUUAUCCGGAUUUAUUGGGUUUAAAGGGUGCGUAGGUGGGAUGAUAAGUCAGAGGUGAAAGCUAGCAGCUUAACUGUUAAAUUGCCUUUGAUACUGUCAUUCUUGAGUAUAGUUGGCGUUGGCGGAAUGUGACAUGUAGCGGUGAAAUGCGUAGAUAUGUCACAGAACACCGAUCGCGAAGGCAGCUAACGAAACUAUCACUGACACUGAUGCACGAAAGCGUGGGGAGCAAACAGGAUUAGAUACCCUGGUAGUCCACGCCGUAAACGAUGAUAACUCGACGUUGGCAAUAUACCGUUCAGCGUCCAAGCGAAAGCGUUAAGUUAUCCACCUGGGGAGUACGAUCGCAAGGUUG